AGAAACCAACAGGGAUUGCCUCAGUAACGGCGAGUGAAGCGGCAACAGCUCAAAUUUGAAAUCUGGCCUCUUUGGGGUCCGAGUUGUAAUUUGUAGAGGAUGUUUCGGGUACCGCCCCGGUCUAAAUUUCUUGGAACAGAAUGUCAAAGAGGGUGAGAAUCCCGUCUUGGAUCGGUGGUAGGGCCUAUGUGAAACUCCUUCGACGAGUCGAGUUGUUUGGGAAUGCAGCUCAAAAUGGGUGGUAAAUUUCAUCUAAAGCUAAAUAUUGGCCAGAGACCGAUAGCGCACAAGUAGAGUGAUCGAAAGAUGAAAAGCACUUUGAAAAGAGAGUUAAACAGUAUGUGAAAUUGUUGAAAGGGAAGCGCUUACAACCAGACUUGAGCGCGGCGGUUCCCCCUUCCUUUUGGUUGGGUUACUCCGUCGUGUCCAGGCCAACAUCGGUUUCGGGGGUCGGUUAAAGGCCUUGGGAAUGUACCUACUCUCUCGAGGGUAGACUUAUAGCCCAGGGUGUCAUGCGACCUCCCGGGACCGAGGAACGCGCUUCGGCUCGGAUGUUGGCGUAAUGGUUGUCAGCGACC
RNAcentral lists this ribosomal RNA (578 nucleotides) under Phialophora phaeophora. RNAcentral's name for it is "eukaryotic LSU rRNA". It matches the Rfam family "Eukaryotic large subunit ribosomal RNA", at positions 60 to 649 of the family's 3401-position model. The record is from RNAcentral. Lineage: Eukaryota; Fungi; Ascomycota; Eurotiomycetes; Chaetothyriales; Herpotrichiellaceae.